GUCAUUUUGAUGGUCGUAAAUUUCUUUAGCAUACUCAUUUUUAUAUAUUUUUAGACUGCUUACCGUUUGACUCCUGUCUCUAUCUAACCUAGUGGGUUCAAAAAGAAAGGACCGCGCUGGAAACAUGAGGGGGUUAAAAGGAUCAGCUCUUUUUGAAUUAUUAGUCAAAGUUGUAACCAGCUCGUAUGAAAGGAGUUCUCGACGUGAAAUAGUUAAUUUUAUUCAACAAUGCCAAGAAACAGAGCUCGCUCAAGAAACA
Hydra vulgaris (swiftwater hydra) is the source of this 259-nucleotide non-coding RNA. The record is from RefSeq and is a predicted model, not a curated record. Lineage: Eukaryota; Metazoa; Cnidaria; Hydrozoa; Anthoathecata; Hydridae.